Molecule: non-coding RNA, 26 nt
Filed under: Homo sapiens (human)
Lineage: Eukaryota; Metazoa; Chordata; Mammalia; Primates; Hominidae
Source: RNAcentral
UGUCGUUGGGCCACUCUGAGGCAUGA